Molecule: non-coding RNA, 29 nt
Filed under: Mus musculus (house mouse)
Lineage: Eukaryota; Metazoa; Chordata; Mammalia; Rodentia; Muridae
Source: RNAcentral
UGCUAAGAGCAGUGAAUGUCUACACUAGA